UCCGAGUUGUAAUUUGUAGAGGGCGCUUUGGUGUUGGUAGCGGUCCAAGUUCCUUGGAACAGGACGUCACAGAGGGUGAGAAUCCCGUACGUGGUCGCUAGCCUUCUCCGUGUAAAGCCCCUUCGACGAGUCGAGUUGUUUGGGAAUGCAGCUCUAAAUGGGAGGUAAAUUUCUUCUAAAGCUAAAUACUGGCCAGAGACCGAUAGCGCACAAGUAGAGUGAUCGAAAGAUGAAAAGCACUUUGGAAAGAGAGUCAAAUAGCACGUGAAAUUGUUGAAAGGGAAGCGCUUGCAGUCAGACUUGCCUGUAGUUGCUCAUCUGGGCUUUUGCCCGGUGCAUUCUUCUGCAGGCAGGCCAGCAUCAGUUUGGGCGGUUGGAUAAAGGUCUCUGUCAUGUAUCUCUCUUCGGGGAGGCCUUAUAGGGGAGACGUCAUGUAACCAGCCUGGACUGAGGCCCGCGCAUUUGCUAGGAUGCUGGCGUAAUGGCUGUAAGCGGCCCGUCUUGAAACACGGACCAAGGAGUCUAACAUCUAUGCGAGUGUUUGGGUGUCAAGCCCGAGCGCGUAAUGAAAGUGAAUGGAGGUGGGAACCCUUUGGGUGCACCAUCGACCGAUCCUGAUGUCUUCGGAAGGAUUUGAGUAAGAGCAUGGCUGUUGGGACCCGAAAGAUGGUGAACUAUGCUUGAAUAGGGU
Molecule: ribosomal RNA, 691 nt
Filed under: Sphaerellopsis paraphysata
Lineage: Eukaryota; Fungi; Ascomycota; Dothideomycetes; Pleosporales; Leptosphaeriaceae
Description: partial large subunit ribosomal RNA
Rfam family: Eukaryotic large subunit ribosomal RNA
Source: RNAcentral